This 4904-nucleotide long non-coding RNA is filed under the name Sus scrofa (pig). RNAcentral's name for it is "lncRNA (ENSSSCG00000054259.1, ENSSSCG00105001958.1, ENSSSCG00130031418.1)". Lineage: Eukaryota; Metazoa; Chordata; Mammalia; Artiodactyla; Suidae. The record is from RNAcentral.
UUGGCAUUUAUUAGAGCCCCACACCUUCAAGUGAAGUAAAUGGAGCAGAUACCCUUUCAGAAGCAGCAUAUUUCUAUGGAGAUCCAAAGGAGAGCUUGUUCUUAGCUAGUCUUAAUGAAAAAUUUUCGGGCCUUGUUUGCACAGGCAGAAGGGUCUGCAGUCCUGGACAAAUCCCACCAGAACUAACUUUCUUGGCAACAGUGAAGAGCUCUGAAUCAGAGGGUUGGAAGGAAUCUAAGUAAGACAUCUAGUCCAUCACCCUGCCUCCAGGCAAUUUUCCAGGCAGAUGGGUAUUUAUCCUGUUCUUAAAGCUCUCCACUGAUCUGAAGAAAAAAGACAAGGGUAUUUAUAUCCAUGAUGUUUUCUUACCAAAUGUGUAAUAUUUGCCACCUACACCAUCUGCAGCAGUUCAGAAUGUAGUAAGAUUGAAAGUGAAACUCAUUGAUCUCAGGAAAGAUAAUGAAAUAAAAUAUUUUGCUUUAUAUAAUUUCCCUCAAAGCUUUUGAUGGAGCAUCUAUAAAAUGGCAUCCAUAGUUUAGGGGAAAGAAUGACAGCCUCGCUUUACAAUUGACAAGCACCGUAAUUUUCAGAAUGCAGGUAGGAAAAGCUCAGUUGUUUCUCUUAGUGUGGUUCUGUACAAGAUAAGACCAAGGUCAUAGGCUUACUCUCUGGGUAGGUUAGCUGUGUUUUGUUCCAAGGCUUUAACCACAGCUCUCAAGUAGACAUCCUUCACCACAAACACUUUAAGAGAAUAUGAAUGAAUUAUCAAAAUUUAUGUUUUAUGAGGGUGAAGAGUUAUCCCUCCAGUUAUGAGCACCAUCAAUUUUCUACCUGAAAUAAACCUGUUUGUUUAGUGUUUGGAUACAGAAAUGAAAUGUGAAGAUCUGCUGCCCAGAUGAUGUAAAGAACUGCCCAAACUUCAAUCCCUUUAAUCUGAUGUUCCAUGAAUCUACCAUGACAGCAACCUCUAGUGAUUUCACUGCCAUCCCCAGGUAUGUUCCUCUAACAUCCUUUUUCUAGAACUUGCCUCAGCAUAACAAUCCAAAUAUUGGGAUAUUUAUCCUUGACAUUUGCUGGUGGGGAGUGAUGCCACCUCCACCCACAUGGCCUCAGCGAGCAGAUCAUAGUCAGGCCAAUGAACAUGAGAGAGAUCUGUAAGAAGCCCCACUCUCUGGAGGAGCCUGCAGGCAAACCACAGAUAACCCCACCUCUAGCAUCCAGCCCUUUGUUCCAAGUGUCAUAGAAGUGGCUCCAUCCUUAAACUUUCUCUUGGAUCAUUUCCAGUGGUGUUGGAGGCAGUGAAGGAUGUUUUUUUAAGGAAUCUCUGUGUCAGAAGCUAUUUUUUUGCUGGGAGAAAGUCUGGCAUUCAGAGCUUACCCGUGAAUGAAUUCAGACCAAGUCUUAUGGAAGCAACCAGGAUUUUAGACAGGAGUCACUCAAAAGAGUGAGUUUUAUAGGAUUUACUCUCCCAAAUACAGAAAAGUGGGAGCUCCCUGGCAGGGAGGUGGGGGUGGGGGGGUUGUGUGGAUGAAGUGAGCUGAGACAGGAGAGUCAGGGCCAGGCAUUCUGUGCUGCCUACGGAGACAGUAAACCUAAGACCAAUCCAAGCCUGCAUGAAUAUCUGACAUAUCUGAUCAAAAUGUGAGACAAGGUAGCACAUUUCCUGGGGGAAAGUCAUUCUCAGCAUCUAGCAGGGCCUGAGUUGUUACUGAAAGAGGUCAAUGGACAAAAUAGUAGAAGUAGUCUGGCCCCACUCCCCUGGCAGGAUCUGGGGAAGGGGGAAAGUCAGGGUCCAGCUGACUCGGGGGAGAUAAGUUGGUCUGUAUUCCCAGAGGGGAACCACGAAGAGAACCGGGACCAAGGAGCCAGCCCACAUCACAGCUAGAGUACGAAACAAGGCACACUGAAAGGGUGCUAGGUGGAGAGGCAAAGGCCUGCCUGAUUCCUACAGCUGACGGAGAACAUCUACUGAAUCGGUACCAUGUGUGUACUGUGCUUGUCAAUGGUACAAACAUACCUCAUUGGUUCUUACGAGGACUCUCAGAGGCAGCCACUGCUUUCCAAAAAUGCUCCAUUGAUAGAGUUCGGAUAAAUAUGUAGCUUGGAAGAUGUUCCAGGCUCUCACCACUCACUCAGUCCUCGUCACACCCUUAGAGAAUCACCAUGCACAUUCAAAGCACUGAGACAUCCUGUGUUAAAAGAAACUAUUUUCAUUGGUUUAUUAACCCAGAAUUUCCAAUGAAAUCCCUUCCCCAGCAAAUAUGCCUACGUUUUUGAUCCUUCAGAAACAUUUACAGUCAUCUUUCUCACCUAAUGUCAAAAAGGACUCAAAAUUUCUGAGAAAUGCACGUGCUUUGUAACACAAAGCAUUCAGCAAAUGUAAAAGAGUAUUCUUUUGGUCAAUUUGUGCUGGUGGAAAUGAGUAAAAUGAGUGAUAAAGCGUUCAUGACCUAGUGGUGCUUAAGUUUGGAUUAGUGAGGAAUCUACCAAGACCAUAGCCUUGUGUGGCUGAAAGUCUAAAUUUUUGGCAUGAUAUAGAUCACAUAUGGGGAAUAUAUUGGGCUUUGUAAAAAAUUACAAAGUGAAUAAAUGAAUGUCAGAAAGUAGAAACAAUGUCAUAUAUUCCAUCACUGUAGGACAAAGUUUCCUUUGUGGGGGACCAUAAACUCCUCCUCUACUCUGCCUGAAUAGCAGCAUGGUUUUGCCAGGAUGAGCCUCCCAUUGUGAUUAUGAACUCACCGAGUAUUUGCUUUAGAAAUUGUCUUUUCUGCCAGUUCCUUCCAAGCAGAGCAUAUUCUUCUUAUAGGGACCGGUAGAUUUUCCACUACCCCUUCAACCCCAAGUCAGUAACCAGCCCCAGUGCCACUGCCUCUAAGGAGGACCUGGGUCUUGGGCAGUUGGACUUACAGACUGGUUAGGAGAGGAGGGAAGAUGAUCUCAUCAGAAAUUCUGUAUUAAAGAACAAAACAGACAAAAACUAUUUUAAUAAGGGACUUCUCAUUGGCAUUCCCAUUGUGGCUCAGCAGUAAUGAACCCAACUAGUAUCCACGAGGAUAUGGGUUCAACCCCUGGCUCCACUCAAUGGGUUAAGGAUUCAGCAUUGCCGUGAGCUAUGGUGUAGGUGGCAGAUCUGGCUCGAGCCCUGAGUUGCUGUGGCUGUGGUGUAAGCCGGCAGCUACACCUCCAAUUCAACCCAUAGCCUGGGAACUUCCAUAUGCCAAGAGGCUGACCCUAAAAAGCAAAAGAAAAAAAUUAAAUUAAAUUUUUAAAAAAUAAGGGGCUUCUUAGGGCCUUUGGGAGCAGGCAUACUAUAUAGCAUUUUCCAAGCUGUGAAAUUUCUCACAAAACUCUGCCCAUGGAGAAUUUAGGGAGAAAGACGCCAGAAGUUUACCUAAUGUAUUCCACCAGCGCUGCCUCCGAGGGUGAUUCUAGAGCAUGAAUGAGACAAUGAGCAUGAUAUUCCCUAGCAGAGCUUCAAAGAAAUGAUCUUCCUUACUAACCUGCAAGUACUGCAGAGACGUGAUCCCUAUUUUGUGAGUGGGGAAAAUGAAGUUCACAGAGGUUGAGUGACUGUCUUCAGUCCAACAGCCAAGCCUGUGUCUUUAGUCUCCAAAUCCCAAAAAACCUUUCCCCUGGGCCACUGCUUCUGGCCGCCAGGCAGCUCUCUCACCCCAUCACUACCUCAUUCCCUACAUCAAUGUCCCAUCUACCCAGAAAUUGACCUUGCUCAAAGCAUUCUAUGUAAACCAAGUGGAGCCUCACGUUUGUGAAUUCAAUUCUCUUGAGGGUUGUGAUCAGAAAACAUGUGCUAUCCAAUUUUUCCCACACAUGCCCCUUCUUAGCUGGCCUAUCACUGGGGGCCGGAGCAGUGUGGUCUGUUUGAGGCCAAUAAUCAUAUCACCAUUGUAAUGAGUGGCAAAUCCUAUGUAAUUUACACAUUAAAAGGAGGCUGAGAUGCAUGGAAAAACCCAGCCCCCAUUUGUCUAAUGAAAUUAAAGCUCUUAGCCAAAUACUGGUGCUGAAAAGAGAUGUUUGGGAAGGGCUCUCCCGGGCUCUCUCUCGCCCUGCCUCUGAAGAAGAGGGUGAGUGUUCUUUAUUCAUGAUCCCGCCUCUACCUAAAUCACUCCCACAAUGGGACCUCUAAACCAAGGGGCCCUGUCUGGGAGCAUGAUUUACGCAGAGCUGAGGCCAGGCGGGGCUGACAAAGGCAUUAUGACUAGUUCUUUUCAAUGACAAUUGGAGGGAAAACGAAAGCAGCAAAGAUGUUCUGUGACUUGGCAGGCAAAGCAUGAAAAAACUGCCCCAGCCUCCUCCCCCAGACGGCACAAAAGAAAGUUUGGAACCAUACCUGAUAAAGCAAUUAUUUUAAGCUAUUUUUCUCAUUUGGUGGUCACUGGACAUUGUCAUAAAAUAAGUGUGAAUGACACAGCCCUUGGAGCCACCACAGUGAGAUUAAGCUCUGGAGUGAAAGAUUGGUCCCAUGACAAGGCAGUAAGAGAUGGCUGGCUCCUCCCUCCGACGGCUGUCCAAAUUCCCUCCGAGUUCCCCAUGACUCUGAAACCCUCCGUUAAGUCUGGGAACCAGCCAUGUUGACAUGAAAUAAAACAAAACAAGCCAAAUAUAACUGAGACUGGGUCUGAAAGUCAAGAAUCUACCAUCAUAAAGCUAGUUAGUCUAGGAGAUGCUCUUCUUUGGUCCAUGAACAGUAGAUACAUGGAAAUACAGUGCACUAAUUGGGUCUGAGAAUAUGAGCAAAGGCAUCAAGGCAAUAAUCUAUGUAGAGGAACAGCCAGAGUAUGUAAGAAAACAACUAAUAUCCAUUAUCUACAGCUUAACUUCUCAAAGGCAAAUGCAUUUGAAAAAGAAAGAAAUGCUCACAGGACACGUUCACACCCACAACUCUG